This 253-nucleotide ribosomal RNA is filed under the name uncultured bacterium. RNAcentral's name for it is "partial 16S ribosomal RNA". It matches the Rfam family "Bacterial small subunit ribosomal RNA", at positions 524 to 776 of the family's 1533-position model. The record is from RNAcentral.
GACGUAGGGCGCGAGCGUUGUCCGGAUUUAUUGGGCGUAAAGAGCUCGUAGGCGGCUUGUCGCGUCGAAUGUGAAAUCUCAGGGCUCAACUCUGACAUUGCAUUCGAUACGGGCAGGCUAGAGUUCGGUAGGGGAGACUGGAAUUCCUGGUGUAGCGGUGAAAUGCGCAGAUAUCAGGAGGAACACCAAUAGCGAAGGCAGCUCGCUGGGACGUUACUGACACUGAGGCGCGAAAGCGUGGGGAGCAAACAGG